UGCGAGUGGAAUUGAUGGGAAUUUUUUUAACCCUCGCCAUUUAGAGGAAGGUGAAGUCGUAACAAGGUUUCCGUAGGUGAACCUGCGGAAGGAUCAUUA
This 99-nucleotide ribosomal RNA is filed under the name Phytophthora infestans T30-4. Its description in RNAcentral is "18S ribosomal RNA". It matches the Rfam family "Eukaryotic small subunit ribosomal RNA", at positions 1733 to 1831 of the family's 1831-position model. Lineage: Eukaryota; Oomycota; Peronosporomycetes; Peronosporales; Peronosporaceae. The record is from RNAcentral.